RNAcentral lists this ribosomal RNA (100 nucleotides) under uncultured bacterium. Its description in RNAcentral is "partial 16S ribosomal RNA". It matches the Rfam family "Bacterial small subunit ribosomal RNA", at positions 1401 to 1500 of the family's 1533-position model. The record is from RNAcentral.
ACACCAGAAGUUGGUUUUACCCGAAGCCGAUGAGCUAACAGCAAUGAGGCAAUCGUCUACGGUAGGCCCGAUGAUUGGGGUGAAGUCGUAACAAGGUACC